RNAcentral lists this ribosomal RNA (878 nucleotides) under uncultured Corynebacterium sp. RNAcentral's name for it is "bacterial SSU rRNA". It matches the Rfam family "Bacterial small subunit ribosomal RNA", at positions 521 to 1397 of the family's 1533-position model. Lineage: Bacteria; Bacillati; Actinomycetota; Actinomycetes; Mycobacteriales; Corynebacteriaceae. The record is from RNAcentral.
UAAUACGUAGGGUGCGAGCGUUGUCCGGAAUUACUGGGCGUAAAGAGCUCGUAGGUGGUUUGUCGCGUCGUCUGUGAAAUUCCGGGGCUUAACUCCGGGCGUGCAGGCGAUACGGGCAUAACUUGAGUACUGUAGGGGAAACUGGAAUUCCUGGUGUAGCGGUGAAAUGCGCAGAUAUCAGGAGGAACACCGGUGGCGAAGGCGGGUCUCUGGGCAGUAACUGACGCUGAGGAGCGAAAGCAUGGGUAGCGAACAGGAUUAGAUACCCUGGUAGUCCAUGCCGUAAACGGUGGGCGCUAGGUGUAGGGGUCUUCCACGACUUCUGUGCCGUAGCUAACGCAUUAAGCGCCCCGCCUGGGGAGUACGGCCGCAAGGCUAAAACUCAAAGGAAUUGACGGGGGCCCGCACAAGCGGCGGAGCAUGUGGAUUAAUUCGAUGCAACGCGAAGAACCUUACCUGGGCUUGACAUAUACGGGACCGGGCCAGAGAUGGUCCUUCCCUUGUGGCUCGUAUACAGGUGGUGCAUGGUUGUCGUCAGCUCGUGUCGUGAGAUGUUGGGUUAAGUCCCGCAACGAGCGCAACCCUUGUCUUAUGUUGCCAGCACGUAAUGGUGGGGACUCGUGAGAAACUGCCGGGGUCAACUCGGAGGAAGGUGGGGAUGACGUCAAAUCAUCAUGCCCCUUAUGUCCAGGGCUUCACACAUGCUACAAUGGUCGGUACAGUGGGUUGCGAUGCCGUGAGGUGGAGCUAAUCCCUGAAAGCCGGUCUCAGUUCGGAUCGGGGUCUGCAACUCGACCCCGUGAAGUCGGAGUCGCUAGUAAUCGCAGAUCAGCAACGCUGCGGUGAAUACGUUCCCGGGCCUUGCACACACCGCCCGU